UACGUAGGAGGCAAGCGUUGUCCGGAAUUACUGGGUGUAAAGCGCGUGUAGGCGGCAGGCCAAGUCUGUGGUGAAAUCGCUCGGCUCAACUGGGCGGGGUCCAUGGAAACUGGUCAGCUGGAGGACGGUAGAGGUGAGUGGAAUUCCCGGUGUAGUGGUGGAAUGCGUAGAUAUCGGGAGGAACACCAGUGGCGAAGGCGGCUACCUGGACCGGUUCUGACACUGAGGAGCGAAAGCGUGGGAGCGAUCCGG
RNAcentral lists this ribosomal RNA (252 nucleotides) under uncultured bacterium. RNAcentral describes it as "partial 16S ribosomal RNA". It matches the Rfam family "Bacterial small subunit ribosomal RNA", at positions 524 to 776 of the family's 1533-position model. The record is from RNAcentral.